Molecule: unclassified non-coding RNA, 1106 nt
Filed under: Hevea brasiliensis (rubber tree)
Lineage: Eukaryota; Viridiplantae; Streptophyta; Magnoliopsida; Malpighiales; Euphorbiaceae
Source: RNAcentral
UUAGUUGAGUUGAAUUGAGUUGAGAUAUCCUGGUGAUGUGCAUUUUGUUUGUCAUCUUGACAUUACUGAUCCAUUAGUGCAGCAAACUUUUGAGUUAGGUGAUGAAAAAAAGCUGAAUGUAGCUAUUAGCUACAAUGUAGAGAAAGAAAGCCAGAUGAAUUCACAAAGAAAGCUUGACAUUGGUGAAGAGUGGCAGAUUUUAAAGUUCAUUGAUGCUGGAUAAAAGGAGGCUUGAAGUUGAGCAUGAGACUCUAAACAAAUGCUUGCUUGGGAGGCAGCCCAAAAAUCAAAUAAAUUUGGAUUUUUGUUGCCCUACUUUUUAUUUUCUUAUUUUUAAUGUCUCUUCUUGGCAUGAUAACUUAUAUUGGGGAUAAUGUAAGAUUUAAGUGUGGAAGAGUGUUUUUUUGUGUUUAAUGUGUUUAGUUCUUUUAUUCAUUUUUUUUUUUUUUUGAAAACUAUGGGUUUUGUAUUUUUAGGUUCUUUCCAUAAAUUGAUGAGAUUAUGCACAUAAUGAGUAUGGAUUGAUCAAGUUUAAUGAGAACAUGAAUAGUUAGGCUUUCUUUAUCUGUUAAUUUAAUUGAAAGGUUGAAUAUGCUAAUAUGGAAAAUCAAACCUUUUAUGAGCUUUUAAACAUAUGAUUGAAACUUUUAUAUCAAUCUAUUUCUUUAUUGUGUAGAUAUUCAUUCCUUGAUAUUGUAACUCUAGAACUUGCUUUAAAUCUUUUUGAGAUUACAUGGAUAUAUGCAUGCAUUUAAGUGAUAAAAGCAAACUAGGUGUAACCAUUUUAGCUUAAAUUGUCAACCUUUAGACAACUAAAAGUUGUCCCCUUAGACAACUAAAAGUUGUCCCCUUAGUGAGCUAAUUUUGAGUCUACAUUAUUCAUGUUCUUUGUAAUUGAGCCACAUUACAAAGCCUUAACCAGUAAAACAAGUGUUUCUACCUAACCAUAGGAUUAGUAGAGCAUUUGAAACUUUUUGAAUAGAUUUUGGUUGGAAUGUUUAUAAGAGUAAUGAUGAAUUGGGGAUACUAGUUUGAAAGUAUACAGUUGAUGUUCUUGUGACUUAUAAAGUAAAGUGAAAAGUUUGGAAUGAAAAGCAAAAAAUUCA